UACAGAGGUCCCAAGCGUUGUUCGGAUUCACUGGGCGUAAAGGGUGCGUAGGUGGUCGGGUAAGUCUGAGGUGAAAUCUCCGAGCUCAACUCGGAAACUGCCUUGGAUACUAUCCGGCUUGAGGGUUGGAGGGGGGACUGGAAUUCUCGGUGUAGCAGUGAAAUGCGUAGAUAUCGAGAGGAACACCAGUGGCGAAGGCGAGUCCCUGGACAACUCCUGACGCUGAGGCACGAAAGCUAGGGGAGCAAACAGG
Molecule: ribosomal RNA, 253 nt
Filed under: uncultured bacterium
Lineage: Bacteria
Description: partial 16S ribosomal RNA
Rfam family: Bacterial small subunit ribosomal RNA
Source: RNAcentral